AUUUCUGCCUUGUCAUUGCAGGAACAUUCUAAUGGGUUCGGAUUGUCAACUGCCGUAUCAGGAUGACUGCCAUGGGGCAUUGCCACUUCCAUGAGAUUGUGCCAUUGGAGCAGAUUCAAACGGUCGAAUUGGAGCAGUAGUCCGCCGAGGCCUUGCAUACGCUGGAGUCCAGAAUAAGCCACUCUAACCCAUUUCUUCUAUAUUCACUUGUAAACUAUUUCUUGUCCACCUGUUUCUGAUUAGAUAUUCUUCACAGGUGAAUGGCGUGAGCACAAAGGAGAUUCGGAAGCGAUACGGAUGCGGAACCUGUACAGGCAUGGAGAAUGCUCGACUUGCAGGCAAACUCUGCAAGCUCUCACGGCUUUACUAUGAGGAAGCUGGUCCAAUCUUCCGUUUAUGGACUCCUCGAGGCGUUGCUACUUUUGGGGAGGGCAUUCCGACUAUAUCUCGCCAUACUAUUGUUUCCGCUUACCGUUAAUAAUGUAAGUAUAUCUGACACAUCCUUUGCGUAAAGGACUUCCAUUUUCUUUUAAUUCCUUCGGAUAAGUGACCGAUUAUUUCUCGUCAUGCUUUGAAUGGUGGCUCGACCGGAAAUUGGCCGCAAUUCAAGAUAAGGCUGUCAACGGGUGGGAUCCGGGUCCGGUCUAGGUGGAAGCACUCCCGAGUUGAUCAUUUCUUGGGACAAAACCUUAGACCCAAAACCGUCCAUUUUAACUUAAAAUUUAAGUUGAAACAAAAACAUAGGUUUAAAACCGAACCAUUUAAGCUAAAAGACACCACUUUUCUUAUUUAAAUCGCAAACUAAAAUUAAAAUUUUAAUCAUAUAUGAUUAAUAAAAUUGAUAGAAAAAUACUAAGUUACUUAUAUGUUAAAACGUCAGGCACCUUUAUUUAUCUAUCUAUGUAUCAGACUUGACAUUUAAACCUAUAUAAGAGCGAAACCGUAAGAAAACGAAUGAAAUAAUAUAUAUGGUUAACAAAAUAGUCGGUUUUGGGCAUGAAUCGAUUCGGGAGGGGCGAGUUCUGGAACCGACCCAAUUAUUUAUUUCAACAUAAUCGUGGAGCCGGAUCCUUUAUAAAUGGUUGGGUCGAUUCGGGCCAACCGGGUAGAUCUGAACCGUUGACAGCCCCUUCAAGAACAUGAACGAUGAUAGCGAUUGUGCUCUAGCAAGGUUGGUAUCCCUUUUCCUUCUCCCUUCGGACCUGUAAUUUGAGGUAAGGACCUUUCAAAACCGCACUCGAUGUUCGUACCUUUGUUAUUGAGGCAUAAGAUUUUGUCUUGCGAAGUUGGUUUUGGAUUUUCACGAAUUAAUAAAUUCUGCUAAUGCUAUUUGUGCCUUGUCAUUGCAGGAACAUU
This is a non-coding RNA of Nelumbo nucifera (sacred lotus), 1356 nucleotides long. The record is from RefSeq and is a predicted model, not a curated record. Lineage: Eukaryota; Viridiplantae; Streptophyta; Magnoliopsida; Proteales; Nelumbonaceae.